UACGUAGGGUGCGAGCGUUGUCCGGAAUUAUUGGGCGUAAAGAGCUCGUAGGCGGUUUGUCGCGUCGGCCGUGAAAACUCGGGGCUUAACCCCGAGCCUGCUUCUGAUACGGGCAGACUAGAGGUAUGCAGGGGAGAACGGAAUUCCUGGUGUAGCGGUGAAAUGCGCAGAUAUCAGGAGGAACACCGGUGGCGAAGGCGGUUCUCUGGGCAUUGCCUGACGCUGAGGAGCGAAAGUGUGGGGAGCGAACAGG
RNAcentral lists this ribosomal RNA (253 nucleotides) under uncultured bacterium. Its description in RNAcentral is "partial 16S ribosomal RNA". It matches the Rfam family "Bacterial small subunit ribosomal RNA", at positions 524 to 776 of the family's 1533-position model. The record is from RNAcentral.